GCGGGUGUGGCGGAAUGGCAGACGCGGCAGACUCAAAAUCUGCUCUGGGUAACUAGGUGGGGGUUCAAGUCCCUUCACCCGCA
This 83-nucleotide transfer RNA is filed under the name Sporomusa ovata. RNAcentral's name for it is "tRNA-Leu-CAA". It matches the Rfam family "tRNA". Rfam says of the family: Transfer RNA (tRNA) molecules are approximately 80 nucleotides in length. Lineage: Bacteria; Bacillati; Bacillota; Negativicutes; Selenomonadales; Sporomusaceae. The record is from RNAcentral. RNAcentral also lists the same sequence under 2 other names.